GACAGAGGGUGCAAACGUUGUUCGGAAUUACUGGGCGUAAAGCGCGUGUAGGCGGCUCGGCAAGUCGGGUGUGAAAGCCCUGGGCUUAACCUAGGAAGUGCACUCGAAACUGCCAAGCUUGAGUUCUGGAGAGGAAGGCGGAAUUCUCGGUGUAGAGGUGAAAUUCGUAGAUAUCUGGAGGAACACCGGUGGCGAAGGCGGCUCACUGGACCGAGUCUGACACUGAGGUGCGAAAGCUAGGGUAGCAAACGGG
RNAcentral lists this ribosomal RNA (253 nucleotides) under uncultured bacterium. RNAcentral describes it as "partial 16S ribosomal RNA". It matches the Rfam family "Bacterial small subunit ribosomal RNA", at positions 524 to 776 of the family's 1533-position model. The record is from RNAcentral.